RNAcentral lists this long non-coding RNA (217 nucleotides) under Setaria viridis. RNAcentral describes it as "long non-coding RNA (SVIR_LNC010679)". Lineage: Eukaryota; Viridiplantae; Streptophyta; Magnoliopsida; Poales; Poaceae. The record is from RNAcentral.
CAGGGUAUUCAUACAAAUCAAAUAUUUGCUCCACUUUGGUUUCCCAUUCAAAAUAAUCAUCAGCAUUCUCCUUGCCGCUGAAUGGAGGAAUGGACACUUUAACCUUGCUCAAACCAUCAUCAUUGUGACGUCGUUCAUGAUGACACCAACGGUGAUCACCAUCACGACCAUGGGCUCCAAAAUGGCCAAAGUUGUCACCACCAUGAUCAUCAUAUCC